Molecule: ribosomal RNA, 1056 nt
Filed under: Triticum aestivum (bread wheat)
Lineage: Eukaryota; Viridiplantae; Streptophyta; Magnoliopsida; Poales; Poaceae
Description: partial small subunit ribosomal RNA
Source: RNAcentral
AUGCUGGGGGUGAGGAAGGGCGCGGCGACUGUGGAGCUGGGGUCGCUGACCAUGAGGAGGAAGGGCGCCCCGCCUCCGCCUCCCCCCGUGGUGCCGGUGGAGGAGGGGAAGAAGGCGCCGGCGGUGGCGGUGGGGACGGGGAAGGUGUCGGCGGAGGAGGUGUGGGAGGUGCGGCCGGGCGGGAUGCUGGUGCAGAAGCGGGGGCCCGAGGAGGACGAGCCGGCGCCGGAGAGCGUCAAGCCGGUGCCCACCAUCCGGGUCAAGGCCAGGCUCGCCGGCAAGACCCACGAGAUCUACGUCAGCGCGGAGGCCACGUUCGGGGACCUGCGGAGGCGGGUGGCGGAGCGCGCCGGCGCGCACCCGGAGGACCUGCGCACGCUGUACAAGGGCAAGGAGCAGGACCCCAAGGCGUUCCUCGACAUGGCGGGGGUCAGGGACCGCUCCAAGGUCGCCGUGGUCGACGACCCCGAGGCCCGCGCGCGGCGCCUGCUCGAGGAGCUCCGCCUGGGCAGCCUCCGCAAGGCCGCCGGCGCCGUCGCCGCCGUCGCCGCCGAGGUCGACAAGAUCGCGCCCAAGGUGUCGGCGCUGGAGGCGUCGGUGCGCAAGGGGGAGAAGGUUGCGGAGAAGGACGUGGCGACGGUGACGGAGCUGCUGAUGAACGAGCUGCUCAAGCUGGACGCGGUGGUCGCCGGCGGCGACGUGAAGGCGCAGAGGCGCGUGCAGGUGAAGCGGGUGCAGAAGUACGUGGAGACGCUCGACGCGGUCAUGGCCAAGAACGCCACCAUCGCGAGCAAGCCCGCCGCCGCGAAGAAGCAGCCGCCACAGCCAGCGCCGGCGAGGCAGCAGCAGCCGCCGCAGUCGCAGCGGCAACGACACCCGACAGCUCCUCCGCAGGCGCAGGCCCCGGCGCAGACGACGCGGUGGGAGAUGUUCGACCUGCUGUCGUCGCUACCAACCACUUCGUCCUCCUCCUCCACCACCACCACCGACAGCUCCACCGCGUCCUCCGCCGGCGCGCCCCCGCCGCCCACCAACCGGCUCGACUGGAUGCUCUAG